RNAcentral lists this ribosomal RNA (499 nucleotides) under uncultured bacterium. RNAcentral describes it as "bacterial SSU rRNA". It matches the Rfam family "Bacterial small subunit ribosomal RNA", at positions 29 to 524 of the family's 1533-position model. The record is from RNAcentral.
AUUGAACGCUGGCGGAAUGCUUUACACAUGCAAGUCGAGCGGCAGCGCGGGGCAACCUGGCGGCGAGCGGCGAACGGGUGAGUAACACAUCGGAACGUGCCCAGGAGUGGGGGGAUAGCCCGGCGAAAGCCGGAUUAAUACCGCAUACGAACUGAGGUUGAAAGCGGGGGACCGAAAGGCCUCGCGCUCGUGGAGCGGCCGAUGGCAGAUUAGGUAGUUGGUGGGGUAAAGGCCCACCAAGCCUGCGAUCUGUAGCUGGUCUGAGAGGACGACCAGCCACACUGGGACUGAGACACGGCCCAGACUCCUACGGGAGGCAGUAGUGGGGAAUUUUGGACAAUGGGCGCAAGCCUGAUCCAGCCAUUCCGCGUGCAGGACGAAGGCCUUCGGGUUGUAAACUGCUUUGUACGGAGCGAAAGGGUCCUGCCUAAUACGUGGGGCAUAUGACGGUACCGUAAGAAUAAGCACCGGCUAACUACGUGCCAGCAGCCGCGGUAAU